CGAACCGUGCUUGGUUGGGGAUUCGCAUCCGCGCACGCUGGCCUGCACCCGUGAGGCUGUGCGCGAAGCGUUGACGGGGGAGCAUGCAGGCCAGCCAUGGAACCGCGGAACAGAUCUUAUCCCGGGUGCCGACGCACCUAUCCAGCGGAAGGCAAUACGGAAGGGUGCAACAUCGCAAGUGCCUGCCCGACCGGCGUGGUCGUAGACAC
Mesorhizobium sp. SOD10 is the source of this 209-nucleotide non-coding RNA. Lineage: Bacteria; Pseudomonadati; Pseudomonadota; Alphaproteobacteria; Hyphomicrobiales; Phyllobacteriaceae. The record is from Rfam.